RNAcentral lists this ribosomal RNA (422 nucleotides) under actinobacterium BAL230. RNAcentral describes it as "bacterial SSU rRNA". It matches the Rfam family "Bacterial small subunit ribosomal RNA", at positions 58 to 495 of the family's 1533-position model. The record is from RNAcentral. Lineage: Bacteria; Bacillati; Actinomycetota; Actinomycetes.
CAAGUCGAACGAUGAAGCCAGCUUGCUGGUGGAUUAGUGGCGAACGGGUGAGUAACACGUGGGUGAUCUGCCCCAAACUUUGGGAUAAGCCUGGGAAACUGGGUCUAAUACCGAAUAUUACCUUCUCCUGCAUGGGGGUUGGUGGAAAGCUCCGGCGGUUUGGGAUGGGCCCGCGGCCUAUCAGCUUGUUGGUGGGGUAAUGGCCUACCAAGGCGACGACGGGUAGCCGGCCUGAGAGGGCGACCGGCCACACUGGGACUGAGACACGGCCCAGACUCCUACGGGAGGCAGCAGUGGGGAAUAUUGCACAAUGGGCGCAAGCCUGAUGCAGCGACGCCGCGUGAGGGAUGACGGCCUUCGGGUUGUAAACCUCUUUCACCAGGGACGAAGCGAAAGUGACGGUACCUGGAGAAGAAGCACCG